CCUACGGGUGGCAGCAGUGAGGAAUAUUGGUCAAUGGCCGGAAGUCUGAACCAGCCAAGCCGCGUGAAGGACGAAGGUGCCAAGCAUUGUAAACUUCUUUUGUCAAGGGACAAAAUCAGGCUCGAGAGCCUGACCGAGGGUACUUGAAGAAAAAGCAUCGGCUAACUCCGUGCCAGCAGCCGCGGUAAUACGGAGGAUGCGAGCGUUAUCCGGAUUUAUUGGGUUUAAAGGGAGCGUAGGCGGACUGUUAAGUCAGCGGUAAAAGCCCGGGGCUCAACCCCGGCGAGCCGUUGAAACUGGCUGUCUUGAGAUGUCGAGAGGUAUGCGGAAUGCGCGGUGUAGCGGUGAAAUGCUUAGAUAUUGCGCAGAACUCCGAUUGCGAAGGCAGCAUACCGGCGGCGAUCUGACGCUGAGGCACGAAAGCGUGGGUAUCGAACAGGAUUAGAUACCCCUGUAGUC
Molecule: ribosomal RNA, 459 nt
Filed under: uncultured bacterium
Lineage: Bacteria
Description: partial 16S ribosomal RNA
Rfam family: Bacterial small subunit ribosomal RNA
Source: RNAcentral